CCAAAACUUAGCCCGAGUCUCUUGGGACCCCGUCCGAAUAUACCAACAAGUUCCAAAUGAUAAUACGGAACUACUCAAGUGCUCAAAUCAUACAUAAUAAUGUUAAAACCACGAAUCGUUAAUCAAGAUCAAUCUCUUAAGUUCACAAACUUCAAAACUUUGAACCAAACGUCCGAUUCAAGCCUAACGAAUCCCGAAUGAACCCAAAUUUUGCAUACAAGUUUCAGAUGACAUAUCAAAACUAUUCCAACUCCCGGAACAACAAUCCA
RNAcentral lists this long non-coding RNA (269 nucleotides) under Nicotiana benthamiana. RNAcentral describes it as "long non-coding RNA (NBEN_LNC011108)". Lineage: Eukaryota; Viridiplantae; Streptophyta; Magnoliopsida; Solanales; Solanaceae. The record is from RNAcentral.